This 565-nucleotide long non-coding RNA is filed under the name Brachypodium distachyon (stiff brome). RNAcentral describes it as "long non-coding RNA (BDIS_LNC002098)". The record is from RNAcentral. Lineage: Eukaryota; Viridiplantae; Streptophyta; Magnoliopsida; Poales; Poaceae.
UCCAUUUAUGUUCUAUCAUACGGACUUCAUGAUUCUCUUAUAGCUUGUAAAUUCGUGAUUUUGGUUCUCCUUCUCAUUGGUUUGGUGAUAAUCUAAUGGUUUGUAGUCUUUCUUGUGAUGGGUGUAUCUCCGGUCACAUGUCACCUACUCACCUUUUUGAGGUAAACAACUCAUGUGUCUCCGUAAAGCCUCCUAAGAGGUUAGUCCACCUCUUACAGCUUUGGUUUCCUGCAAUUUCUAACAGUAAAGACUUGGAAAAAUAUCAAGAUCGGCGCAACACAUAAUCUGAGUUUAAGUUUUAUUUUUUCUGUAACUUUUUGGUUUAUUUGAUUUUUUUUUAGAGAGAUCGUUGUUCUAAAAAAAACAUUCGCCUAAAAACAGGGGAAACCAAUCGGAUGAUCUCCCGCAACCUAGCAUUUGGAACGAAGGACUAGAGUAGGCAGAUUCCGACGUUGUUUUUGCAGUACUCAAGGUUAUGAACCAGAACGACGAACGAGACACAUGGACAUGGCCGGACACAUCUAUCUAUUACCCCUAUGGAAGGGCGAAGAAUUCUCACCAUUUG